ACAUAUAAAACCCUAAGUUAAAUCUAAAGGCUGAGUUAAAGAUUGAAUCAUAUUAUACGUGGAUCCGACGGCUGAAACAGGAGCAACCGCAAUAGAGAAGUGGCCAAUGGGACUUUUGAGGCCAACGCAAUUACAGACCCUCCUCAGUACAACAUUCCACAACUAGUGCGAAGCCAGCGGUGCAACUUUACAGUUUUCAAAAAAUAAAUGUUUAGGAGAUUUUCUAAAAAUUCAACUCUUCCUCAUCUUAUGUUUUUGAGACAAUAUUAUAAAAAGUUAGCACAUAAUUGUGGCAAAAACAUGAGUUUGCAGAGUUAAUGUGACAAAAAACAUGGGAUGAAGGAACUUAUGGACAGCCGACUUUUGAGAGUCUCCCGACAUUUUUCUUCCCAAAGCACUAGUACUACUACAAUUGAACACGUAAUUACUAGUGGUAUUAGUGAAUUACUAUUGGUAAUUAGACGUCGGAUGCACGGACACGAUUCAGACGUGGAUGGAUGAUGAGAGUCCUUAUAUACACCAACCUGGCUUUCACUAUAAAUAACGGGGAUCUGAAAUCGGCCCCCCUCCUUCCUCAAGUAUGAUGAAUUGAAAGACUCCACUUGUGUAAAUAGUGAAUUAUCCUGUAGACAGGGCAUUCGGGCAGCAUUCCGAAUUCAAAACCCUAAUGAAAACAUGAUAUUCCUUGAGUGAAGGAAAGCUGCUAGGCUGACCAUUGCACUUGGUGUAUCUAAUUAGCUGUAUAUAUAUGUAUAUUUGUAUAUAUUAGAAAGAAGGAAGAGAACUGUAGGUUAAGCUGAGCGUAGUUGACAGAAGAGAGUGAGCACACACAGGCAGCAAUUGUAUAAAAUCAUACCUUUGGGCGGUGCGUGCUCACCUCUCUCUCUGUCAGCUGCUAUCUGCGCGCUCGCUGGCAUUAUUUCACCACUUAAUUUUGAUCGUCAACGUUCAAAACCUUAAUUUCUCAUCAACGCCCCUUCUCUUCCCGCAAAGGAAUGGGAAAUUAAACCAGGCCAGCCCCAGGCCCCGCCCGUUCUGCUCUCCCAAUUCUCCUUCCAGGUAUUUUCUCCCAAUUCUCCUUCCUUCCAGGUGUCCUUCAGUUUAUGAUUUGACCGACGUACCAUACCAUACGUGGCUCACUGCACUUCACAAUCACAAAGGAAUGAAAAUACAAGAUAAGUUAUUUUAAUGUAUUUAAUUUUUCCUGUUUUAUUAAUUUUUAUUGAAUUUAAAAUUGUAAAGAAUGACUUUAGUUGGAAGCGUGGUCUUUUAAUAUACUGUCCUAGACCUUCAAAUGGUUUGAAGAGGACGAUUUGGGGUUCUGAUGUUUCUUCAAGGUACGCCUUCUUAUUCUUAUCUUACUGUUCAAAUUUUCAUGGAAAUUCCCGCAAUUAUUCUUUUCUUUUAUAUAUAUAUAUAUAUAAUUAUUUUAUGAAAACCCUCCGAACCCCUCUUCUAUUUUCAUGGAAACUCCCACAAUUAUUCUUUUAUUUAUUUAUUAUGAAAACCCUCUUCUUCUUCUUCUUCUUCUUCUUCAUGCAAGUUUAUUUCUCUGUGCAUGUCAUAUAAAAACUGUAAAUUAUUACACAAAUAUACAUUCAGCUCUUCUCCCCAAAUCGGCUGAUAAAAAAAAACAUAAACCCUAAGGUCAGAGCUCUGCUAAAUAUGGACACAUUUUACUCUUUUCCCAUCUGGCCAGAUCUCAGCUUUUUUUGUGUCAUAAGUGAGAUUCUUAAACCAAAAUUCCUUUUCAGAAGAAGAGAAAAAAAAAAAAAAAAAAAAAAAAAGGAAGAAAGAAAAAAAGAAAUGUGUCCUGUUAUUGAAGCAAAUAUAAUUUUAGUUUAUAUUGUUCUUUUCUUAUGUUUAAUUUACUGGUCGUUGCCUUGUAAUUAUAUUUGGUAGGCAGUACAAGUGUAGUACUUCUUGAUGUCUAGGCGUCAGUGAGCAGCAGCAGAUUCUGCUUCCAUUAAUUUGGCGCAUGUUUAAUCACCAAGGCAGGUGUGCAACAUAAAGACGUGGAUAUUUCUUGUUACUUACCAAAGUCCUGUUUUAUUUGCUCUUAAAAAGGGUCAGUUUGGUGGCCUUGGUGCUGAAUUUGGAAAAAAAUACCGCGUCAAUACCAGUGUCGUCAUCUCGCUGUCCUUUUUGUGACCUUCUGAACUCAACAUUCAGGUUUGGCACUUUGCCACCUUUCAACCUUGAACACCAUGAUGAAGUUUAUGUUCUCUGGACGGGGUGGGAACGUCCCAUUUCAUCUUUGGGUGUAGCAGUCUAAACUGUUAUCUUAUGACACAAAUGAACUGUCACGAAAUGCCCUGUGGUGUGGAAUGAAGGGGUGAGAAGGUUUGCAGAAGCGCAAUACCGGAUUCACUGUCAUCACUUCAAAGUUCAAAGGAAGAUCGGCGGGCGACAGAAUGCCCUGAUAAUCCUAGUGACCUAAACUGUUUGGCUUGGCAUUAUCAAACUCUAUGAUAAAGAGUAUUUGCUGCACAGAAGAUUUCGAGUGGAAACCACCAUCGAAACUUUCCAUGUUCAAACCGUCGAACGGAAACUACUGUGGGACAUGUAACACUUCGAUAAAUUGUGUGUAAGAGAUAGCAUAUCACUUCAUGCUCAAUCUACAUGAGUACAUGAUUAUAGUUAAUAAGUAUGAAACAAAAGUUAAUUGUGCUA
Molecule: long non-coding RNA, 2673 nt
Organism: Pyrus x bretschneideri (Chinese white pear)
Lineage: Eukaryota; Viridiplantae; Streptophyta; Magnoliopsida; Rosales; Rosaceae
Exons: 4
Source: RefSeq, a predicted model, not a curated record